Non-coding RNA from Triticum urartu, 136 nucleotides. NCBI's taxonomy places the organism in Eukaryota, Viridiplantae, Streptophyta, Magnoliopsida, Poales, Poaceae. The record is from Rfam.
CGAGUACUCCCUCCGUCCGGAAAUAUUUAUCAUCAAAAUAAAUAAAAUAUGAUAUAUCUAAAUAUAUUUUAGUUCUAGAUACAUCAUUUUUUGUCCAUUUUGAUGGUAAACUAUUUUCGAACGAAAGGAGUACUCC